UUUCACAUACCUCAUGAAACAGAAUAUGAGAACUUCAAAACUUUUUCUGAAAAGCAAUGAAUUCAAAAGACCUUACGAAUUCCAGAAGAGAGUUAUAAAAUAUUUCGAAUAGAACCUGAAGCAUUUAAAAGGUUAGCUUCAUUAAUCAAUGGCGGAUCCAAAAAAAUUUUCUAGUGGAGUCAAAUCUAUACUAAUCUAUGAAUUCCCAAUAUCCUGCUGACGUGGCGUGACCUCCUUCUCCCAAAACCGCUCCCUACUCAUCUCCCAAAAUCGCUCCAUCUUCAUCUCCCAAAAUCGCCUCAUCUCCCAAAACUGCUCCCUUUUCAUUUUCCAACCCCUGAGACUUCUCAUCUCCCAAAACCGCCCACCACCCCUCCCUCUUCCGGGCAAAAAUUUUAUGGACACCGUCCCGCUGCUCUGCCUCUUAGGAGAGCAGCGGGUUUUUUUUGGUGCACCCGGUGUACUAUUUUUACUUUAAAAUUUUAAUUUUAAUUUUAAUUUAAUAUAAUAAAUAUUUAUUUUAUUAUAUUUAAAAAAUAUAUGUAAAAAAUAAUUUUAAAUCUUUAAAUUCUAAAUUAUUUUUAUAUAUUUUUAAAAUAUCAUAAUAUAUAUAUAAUUAAAUUAUAAUGAAAAGAUA
This 637-nucleotide long non-coding RNA is filed under the name Ananas comosus (pineapple). RNAcentral's name for it is "long non-coding RNA (ACOM_LNC032455)". The record is from RNAcentral. Lineage: Eukaryota; Viridiplantae; Streptophyta; Magnoliopsida; Poales; Bromeliaceae.